Molecule: ribosomal RNA, 777 nt
Filed under: Gammarus salemaai
Lineage: Eukaryota; Metazoa; Arthropoda; Malacostraca; Amphipoda; Gammaridae
Also listed under: 1 other name
Description: eukaryotic LSU rRNA
Rfam family: Eukaryotic large subunit ribosomal RNA
Source: RNAcentral
UAAGUCGGCCACGAAUAGGCUAUCCCAACUAACGGCGGGAAAGACUCCGCGGAGGGUGUAAGACCCGUGUGGGCGCGUGUUUAAAGCUGUGUGGGCUCGGCCUCCAUUCCCUGAGAGUCGCGUUGCUUGAGCAUGCAGCGCUAAGCAGGUCGUAAACUCGAUCUAAGGCUAAAUAUUUCCACAGAACCGAUAGCGAACAAGUACCGUGAGGGAAAGUUGAAAAGCACUCUGGAGAGAGAGUCAAAAGACCGUGAAACCGCUCAGAGUAUAAGCCCAUGGCAGCUUGGAAGGCAUAUCGCUAGCGGGGCAUCGGUCUCCCUUCGCGGGGAGCCGGUGUUACCUUGCUUCUGUUGUGGCUCGUCAUGGUAGGGGGGUCAGGUCCACAUCCCGCCGUCGUGUGGAGAGUUCUCGGGUGUGUUGUGGUUUCUCGGUUGGCUUCGGCUUUCCGGGGGGCUCUUCGUACUUGGUUCUCUUUUAGACACGGACGUUCAGACUCAGUUGCAAGACGCGAUAACCAGCCCACCACGGCACGUUGUGAGGUCACCCACAGGCUCGACUUUCGAUCGUGAGCCUUGACGCCGAGCAAGCACAAUGCGUGUCGCAGAGGUUCCUAACCAGGCAUUCGAGCCAGGAUCGUGGAACGACACGCGCUCAACAGUCAGGUUCGGGCGGAGACAGAGUUCUGGUAUGAUCCUCUUGCGACGAGCCGGCUUCUGGCCGACAUCCGAUGCUCAGGUCUCCCGCAUGUGCCGCGGGAGAUCGCUUUGACGGUCUGGA